RNAcentral lists this transfer RNA (50 nucleotides) under Rhodotorula taiwanensis. RNAcentral's name for it is "tRNA-Thr". Lineage: Eukaryota; Fungi; Basidiomycota; Microbotryomycetes; Sporidiobolales; Sporidiobolaceae. The record is from RNAcentral.
UCGAACUAUGGACCUUUCGCUUACUAGGCGAACGCUCUGCCACUGAGCCA